RNAcentral lists this transfer RNA (64 nucleotides) under Cavia porcellus (domestic guinea pig). It matches the Rfam family "tRNA". From Rfam's summary of the family: Transfer RNA (tRNA) molecules are approximately 80 nucleotides in length. Their secondary structure includes four short double-helical elements and three loops (D, anti-codon, and T loops). Lineage: Eukaryota; Metazoa; Chordata; Mammalia; Rodentia; Caviidae. The record is from Rfam by way of RNAcentral.
AGGGAUUUAGCUUAGUGGCAUAAGCACCUGCCUUGCAAGCAUGUGGUCAAGAGUUCAAUCCCUG